This 143-nucleotide ribosomal RNA is filed under the name uncultured eukaryote. RNAcentral's name for it is "partial 18S ribosomal RNA". It matches the Rfam family "Eukaryotic small subunit ribosomal RNA", at positions 1299 to 1458 of the family's 1831-position model. The record is from RNAcentral.
UGGUGGAGCGAUUUGUCUGGUUAAUUCCGAUAACGAGCGAGACCUCAGCCUACUAAUUAGGUAUGGGAAUUCUCGGAUUCCAUCCUCAUACCUUCUUAGAGGGACUAUCGGUGGUUAGCCGAUGGAAGUCUGAGGCAAUAACA